RNAcentral lists this ribosomal RNA (207 nucleotides) under uncultured bacterium. Its description in RNAcentral is "partial 16S ribosomal RNA". It matches the Rfam family "Bacterial small subunit ribosomal RNA", at positions 568 to 774 of the family's 1533-position model. The record is from RNAcentral.
CGUGUAGGCGGGAAGAUAAGUCGGGUGUGAAAUCCCUGGGCUCAACCUAGGAACUGCAUCCGAAACUGCCUUUCUGGAGUGAUGGAGAGGAAAGCGGAAUUCCCGGUGUAGAGGUGAAAUUCGUAGAUAUCGGGAGGAACACCAGUGGCGAAGGCGGCUUUCUGGCCAUCAACUGACGCUGAGACGCGAAAGCGUGGGGAGCAAACA